CAAAAUUGUCAAUUGACCCCUUAAGGGGUAAAUGUCCUUUAAUGACAAUUUUUCACAAUUUGUUCAUCAUAUUUGCUAACUUUAAAAAAUCUUCUCCUCUGAAACUACUGAAUGGAUUUGGAUGAAACUUAGCAUGAUAGUUCCUUAGAUUAUCCUGCACAAAGUGUGUGUUCUUCGAUUUUUGAUCCGUCAAAAAACAUGGCCGCCCUUACUUUAAAUAGAACAUAGGGGUCAAAUGCAGUUUUUGGCUUAUAUUUCAAAAACGAAAGCAUUUAGAGCAAAUCUGACAUGGGGUAAAAAUGUUCAUUAGGUCAAGAUCUAUCAACC
Molecule: long non-coding RNA, 327 nt
Filed under: Mytilus galloprovincialis (Mediterranean mussel)
Lineage: Eukaryota; Metazoa; Mollusca; Bivalvia; Mytilida; Mytilidae
Source: RNAcentral